UAAUUCGUGGCUCUAUGGUUGAGCAUCGGUGUGGUAUGCCGAAAGUUUAGGUUCGAUUCCCGACAGAGUCA
Molecule: transfer RNA, 71 nt
Filed under: Daphnia magna
Lineage: Eukaryota; Metazoa; Arthropoda; Branchiopoda; Diplostraca; Daphniidae
Rfam family: tRNA
About the family: Transfer RNA (tRNA) molecules are approximately 80 nucleotides in length. Their secondary structure includes four short double-helical elements and three loops (D, anti-codon, and T loops).
Source: Rfam by way of RNAcentral